This is a regulatory RNA element of Rhodobacteraceae bacterium EhC02, 96 nucleotides long. It matches the Rfam family "Pyrrolysine insertion sequence mttB". Lineage: Bacteria; Pseudomonadati; Pseudomonadota; Alphaproteobacteria; Rhodobacterales; Paracoccaceae. The record is from Rfam.
GCGACCGACAGCAAGAUCCCCGAUGCACAGGCCGGUUAUGAAAAGGCCCUGUCAAUCACCAUGGCGGCACAUGCGGGGGCCAACUUGAUCACCCAG